GCACUCACAAUGUCGGCGUGUGGCACCAGUGAGCCUGUACAUGCAGUAGCUGAUUCCACAAACACAGCGCAGCCCCAAGACACUGUAGAUUGUGCAGAUGAAGGACUACUCACAAUGCCUGCAGCAAGUGAGACUGCUGCUCCCUCUGAAGAGAAAAAUGCUGCUCAAUCCCACAAUUCCCGAAGAGCUCCCAAAAACAUGUGGUCCAAGGCUGAGGUUGCUGCAGUGAUGAGGCAUUUGAAAGACCACAUAAACGAAGGGAAACUAGCCACCAAAAAUGAAUGCAGUCAUUGCAAAUUGGUAGAAGAUCCGGUGUUGGCAGGAAGAACAGUUCAAAACAUAAGAGAUUUUGUAAGAAACAGAGGAUUAACUGCAAAAAGGCAGAAAAAAAUGAACUAAAAUAACUGUUUAGAGAGCUGUGGUUUUACAUCUUGGUCAGAUUGCCAAUUGUUGUUAACACUGAUGUUCUGUUUAAAGAAAAAAAAGUUCUUGUUAAAUACAGAAGUAGUUUGUAUUUCAUAAUUUUUACAUUUAAUUUAUUUAGGGUUUUUUUUGACGGGUUAUAUUUAAAAUAAAAAAUUAUAAAUGCAUAUUUUCUCCCCUUAAUAUUUACCUUUAAACUAUUAAAAUUCAUUUUAAAUGUUUUUAAUUUUUCUGUUUUCUAUAUUUUUAUAUUUCUGUGGGAAGCGUGGGCAUUUUUGUCCAUAGAUUUCUUUUUUUAUUUAUGGUUAAAAUUAAUGUUCAGAUCCAAGAACACUAAUAAAAUGAUGUUCCAGUAA
Maylandia zebra (zebra mbuna) is the source of this 779-nucleotide non-coding RNA. The record is from RefSeq and is a predicted model, not a curated record. NCBI's taxonomy places the organism in Eukaryota, Metazoa, Chordata, Actinopteri, Cichliformes, Cichlidae.